RNAcentral lists this ribosomal RNA (442 nucleotides) under uncultured prokaryote. Its description in RNAcentral is "bacterial SSU rRNA". It matches the Rfam family "Bacterial small subunit ribosomal RNA", at positions 355 to 796 of the family's 1533-position model. The record is from RNAcentral.
UGGGGAAUUUUGCGCAAUGGACGCAAGUCUGACCGAGCGAUGCCGCGUGCGGGAUGAAGGCCCUCGGGUUGUAAACCGCUGUCAGUUGGGAGGAAGGGCCGAUGAAGAAUCGGCUUUGACCUAUCUUCAGAGGAAGUCCGGGCUAAGUUCGUGCCAGCAGCCGCGGUAACACGAACCGGACAAACGUUAUUCGGAAUUAUUGGGCUUAAAGGGUGCGUAGGCGGUGCGGUAAGUGAGGUGUGAAAUCCCACGGCUCAACCGUGGAAUUGCGCUUCAUACUGCCGUGCUAGAGGGAGACAGAGGUAAGCGGAACUGAUGGUGGAGCGGUGAAAUGCGUUGAUAUCAUCAGGAACACCGGUGGCGAAAGCGGCUUACUGGGUCUCUUCUGACGCUGAGGCACGAAAGCUAGGGUAGCGAACGGGAUUAGAUACCCCCGUAGUCC